GUGGUGGUGUAUGUGUAUGUCGGUGUGGGGGGAGCGGAGGUGCCUCGCUGGGAAGAUUGCCCUCACCAGGUUGGCAGGGAAAGAUUUUUGGUGUUUCCGUGCAUCCCUCAGAGGGUCCCAGUGGUCCCCGGGGAGCACAAGGAGUUGUGAAAAGUAACGCACAACUGGCCACCAGAAUAAUUCAUUCCCUCCACCUUCUGUUUAGCACCUCCCACUCCUCCUCUCUUUGGAGCCGUCCUUUCUCUCUGAAAUCUCAGGUUACUUGACUGGGAGUUCUCAGACCUCCAGUUUCAGUCCUGCCCUCAGCCUCCGGUCGGUGAGAGACACCCAGCCCCAGCAAUUGGAUUGGGCAGCCGGUCUUGACACACCACUGUGCUGAGUGCUUGAGGACGUGUUGCACCAGAUGGUUGGGGUUAGUGUGUGUCAUCACAUUCGAGUGGGGAUUAGGAGCAGGAAGGCUGCCUUGCUGGAGCUGUGUGGUCUUCUCCAAGGGAGAGUUGCGGGCAAGGAAACUACUUUGCUUUUGGGAGAAGAGGAGGAAUUCAUUUUCUGCAGCCACAAGAAAGGCAGUUUUUUCAGACUUGCCCUCCUACGCCCACGUUCACAUACCCGUGGUGCUCAAGAUUUCUUACUCCUACUGGACUCUCACAUUUGGUAGAGAAACCCAACACUGUCCUUACCCUUUGCAGGUGAGAAAUUCGAUGAAUAAAACUGUAUAGCAGCUAUUCUGAAAUAGGAGCUGUUUAAUAGGCUGAACAACAGGAUUUAUGGCUAGAGCUUUGUGAUUUUUCUGUUCAACGGCAUAAAGAUGCCUGUAAAAUUAUGUUUCCACUUGUAGUAUACAUUUUUUUCUUGCAUCCUGCCAGUUGAUAUUUUUUUCAUCUUGUCUUUAAAAAGUUACGAUUGAAAAAAUAUUUCAGCAUGGUGUUCAGUUGUGAUUCAAUUCACGGUGUUCUCUGGUUCUGGUCCUGAAGCCCUCAAUGAGAAAGUCUCCUCAUAUAUAAGCAGGCAGUUAUUAUGACCGAGUACGAUCCGAUUCCCAAUAUUACAUAACCGAAAUAGGACUAAGUUCAUAAACUGAAGUCUUCUGGAAUUCCAGUCAUUCCAUUAUGGCUCUACAAUGGAACCGGGGCUUAAAAAACAGAAAGACAGAAAGGCAAACUCGUAUCUCAUAUCUCGGGUGCCCUUAGGAUUAGGACUCCAAGCACAUCAGGUAACAGGUAUGGGGCUGACCACCCACGGCACGUUUCACUAGCACAGAAGUAUUUUCUAAGAAAGUAAAGUUUCUCCUCGCACGACGGAGGUGUGGUGUGGGCAGCUAACAAAGGCAAGUUCCGUUUAGCCGUGGGAGCCCCGCAGCAGAUGUCAUUCUUGUUCCAGACUGACCACCAGGCUCCUUGCCCAGGAUUUUGACAAUCUGGGAGCAUUCCGCACCCCCCACCCCCGCAAAAGUCCAUUGCAUGCAGGA
This 1468-nucleotide long non-coding RNA is filed under the name Mustela putorius furo (domestic ferret). RNAcentral's name for it is "lncRNA (ENSMPUG00000027614.1)". The record is from RNAcentral. Lineage: Eukaryota; Metazoa; Chordata; Mammalia; Carnivora; Mustelidae.